This 291-nucleotide long non-coding RNA is filed under the name Musa acuminata (dwarf banana). Its description in RNAcentral is "long non-coding RNA (MACU_LNC004815)". The record is from RNAcentral. Lineage: Eukaryota; Viridiplantae; Streptophyta; Magnoliopsida; Zingiberales; Musaceae.
GGUUCCUCGCCUCCGAGAGGCUUCAAAGGGAUCAAUUGCCGAACCUUUCAGUCUGGUGUGGCUAUUCUGCCGUCGCCUCCCACGAAAGAUUUCUUUUUUAAUGGCUAUUCGGAACCCAAAUCUCCUGUCUAUUAUUCGGAACCUCCCAAAAGAAGUAGGAGGACCAAACCCAUCCCUAUUAACCCCGUGCCGACUCCUAAAGAAGCCACCUUUGCCGAUGACUUUUCAUGCUCUGAGCUGUGGGCUGGGCCUGCCUACUCGAACUCACCCCCUCCUAGUUCGUUGCCCAUC